CCUUAGCUCUCUUCGAAGAUUUUGGGAAUGGUGUCAUGAGGCCUUGAGGACACAAGAUGGAAAAAUGAAGGGGGUCUCAGGAGAUCGUUCUCUGCUGAAACUGCACUGUCUACCAUCAGAACAUGUAGCUCCAUCAGCUUGAGUCUGGGUUUGAAAAGAAGGAAGUCAUUGUGAGAUGGACAGAUAUCCACAAGAAAGCCUUCCAAUGACAGGCACUGGACCCUGGACACCUGUCUCCCUGCUCAGAAUGGCUAGGGAGGGUGAAGGGUCACCAGGACUCCCAUCCUUAAUUUGGACACGGUUCCAAAUGACUUUGCAUAUGACUUCUACCUCAAAAGGUUUAUAGUCUAAUAGGGGAGAGAGAUGAAGUUCAUGUGACACAGAGACAAUAAUAACAAUGACUUCUG
Molecule: long non-coding RNA, 407 nt
Organism: Mastomys coucha (southern multimammate mouse)
Lineage: Eukaryota; Metazoa; Chordata; Mammalia; Rodentia; Muridae
Exons: 2
Source: RefSeq, a predicted model, not a curated record